GACAGAGGGGGCAAGCGUUGCUCGGAAUCACUGGGCGUAAAGGGCGCGUAGGCGGGAUGGCAAGUCGGUCGUGAAAUCCUUCGGCCCAACCGAAGAACGUCGGCCGAUACUGCCGUUCUUGAGGGAUGCAGAGGAGACUGGAAUUCCCGGUGUAGCGGUGAAAUGUGUAGAGAUCGGGAGGAACACCGGUGGCGAAGGCGGGUCUCUGGGCCGAUACUGACGCUGAGGAGCGAAAGCGUGGGGAGCAAACAGG
RNAcentral lists this ribosomal RNA (253 nucleotides) under uncultured bacterium. RNAcentral's name for it is "partial 16S ribosomal RNA". It matches the Rfam family "Bacterial small subunit ribosomal RNA", at positions 524 to 776 of the family's 1533-position model. The record is from RNAcentral.